RNAcentral lists this ribosomal RNA (497 nucleotides) under uncultured bacterium. RNAcentral describes it as "partial 16S ribosomal RNA". It matches the Rfam family "Bacterial small subunit ribosomal RNA", at positions 28 to 507 of the family's 1533-position model. The record is from RNAcentral.
GAUGAACGCUGGCGGCGUGCCUAAUACAUGCAAGUCGAGCGAACAGACGAGGAGCUUGCUCCUCUGACGUUAGCGGCGGACGGGUGAGUAACACGUGGAUAACCUACCUAUAAGACUGGGAUAACUUCGGGAAACCGGAGCUAAUACCGGAUAAUAUAUUGAACCGCAUGGUUCAAUAGUGAAAGACGGUUUUGCUGUCACUUAUAGAUGGAUCCGCGCCGCAUUAGCUAGUUGGUAAGGUAACGGCUUACCAAGGCAACGAUGCGUAGCCGACCUGAGAGGGUGAUCGGCCACCCUGGAACUGAGACACGGUCCAGACUCCUACGGGAGGCGGCAGUAGGGAAUCUUCCGCAAUGGGCGAAAGCCUGACGGAGCAACGCCGCGUGAGUGAUGAAGGUCUUCGGAUCGUAAAACUCUGUUAUUAGGGAAGAACAAAUGUGUAAGUAACUAUGCACGUCUUGACGGUACCUAAUCAGAAAGCCACGGCUAACUACGUG